RNAcentral lists this ribosomal RNA (433 nucleotides) under uncultured bacterium. RNAcentral describes it as "partial 16S ribosomal RNA". It matches the Rfam family "Bacterial small subunit ribosomal RNA", at positions 29 to 507 of the family's 1533-position model. The record is from RNAcentral.
AACGAACGCUGGCGGCAUGCCUAACACAUGCAAGUCGAACGAGACCUUCGGGUCUAGUGGCGCACGGGUGCGUAACGCGUGGGAACCUGCCCUUAGGUUCGGAAUAACUCCCCGAAAGGGGUGCUAAUACCGGUUAAUUUCUUCGGACCAAAGAUUUAUCGCCUUUGGAUGGGCCCGCGUUGGAUUAGCUAGUUGGUAGGGUAAAAGCCUACCAAGGCGACGAUCCAUAGCUGGUCUGAGAGGAUGAUCAGCCACACUGGGACUGAGACACGGCCCAGACUCCUACGGGAGGCAGCAGUGGGGAAUAUUGGACAAUGGGCGAAAGCCUGAUCCAGCAAUGCCGCGUGAGUGAUGAAGGCCUUAGGGUUGUAAAGCUCUUUUACCCGGGAUGAUAAUGACAGUACCGGGAGAAUAAGCUCCGGCUAACUCCGUG